RNAcentral lists this microRNA precursor (280 nucleotides) under Gossypium raimondii (Peruvian cotton). Its description in RNAcentral is "miR8781b stem-loop (gra-MIR8781b)". Lineage: Eukaryota; Viridiplantae; Streptophyta; Magnoliopsida; Malvales; Malvaceae. The record is from miRBase by way of RNAcentral.
UUCUAUCAGUUUGGUCCUCAAACUUCCUAACCAAAGCUUUUAGCUUUUAAAAUAGAGGCAUUUCACAUCUAUUAAUUGUUUUAUUUAUAGUUGAAAUUAUCUAAUUCGGUACAUAACCCUUUUUUAUAUUUUUAAUAAAUUAGUGCUAGAAAUUAACUAAACACCAUUAAAAAAUAAUUGAAAAUAAAAUUUUAAAUAUAUAAUAUAUAAUAUAUGUGGAAUGUGUCUGUUUUAAAAGCUGAAAGCUUUGAUUAGGAAGUUUGAGGAUCAAACUGAUAGA